This 497-nucleotide ribosomal RNA is filed under the name uncultured bacterium. RNAcentral's name for it is "partial 16S ribosomal RNA". It matches the Rfam family "Bacterial small subunit ribosomal RNA", at positions 28 to 507 of the family's 1533-position model. The record is from RNAcentral.
GAUGAACGCUGGCGGCGUGCCUAAUACAUGCAAGUCGAACGCAUAGCGAAAGGUGCUUGCACCUUUCAAGUGAGUGGCGAACGGGUGAGUAACACGUGGACAACCUGCCUCAAGGCUGGGGAUAACAUCUGGAAACAGAUGCUAAUACCGAAUAAAACUUAGUGUCGCAUGACACAAAGUUAAAAGGCGCUUCGGCGUCACCUAGAGAUGGAUCCGCGGUGCAUUAGUUAGUUGGUGGGGUAAAGGCCUACCAAGACAAUGAUGCAUAGCCGAGUUGAGAGACUGAUCGGCCACAUUGGGACUGAGACACGGCCCAAACUCCUACGGGAGGCUGCAGUAGGGAAUCUUCCACAAUGGGCGAAAGCCUGAUGGAGCAACGCCGCGUGUGUGAUGAAGGCUUUCGGGUCGUAAAGCACUGUUGUAUGGGAAGAACAGCUAGAAUAGGAAAUGAUUUUAGUUUGACGGUACCAUACCAGAAAGGGACGGCUAAAUACGUG